RNAcentral lists this ribosomal RNA (501 nucleotides) under uncultured bacterium. RNAcentral describes it as "partial 16S ribosomal RNA". It matches the Rfam family "Bacterial small subunit ribosomal RNA", at positions 30 to 523 of the family's 1533-position model. The record is from RNAcentral.
AUUGAACGCUGGCGGCAUGCCUUACACAUGCAAGUCGAACGGCAGCACGGGUGCUUGCACCUGGUGGCGAGUGGCGAACGGGUGAGUAAUACAUCGGAACAUACCUUAUCGUGGGGGAUAACGCAGCGAAAGCUGUGCUAAUACCGCAUACGCCCUGAGGGGGAAAGCGGGGGAUCGAAAGACCUCGCGCGAUUAGAGCGGCCGAUGCCUGAUUAGCUUGUUGGUGGGGUAAAAGCCCACCAAGGCGACGAUCAGUAGCUGGUCUGAGAGGACGAUCAGCCACACUGGGGCUGAGACACGGCCCAGACUCCUACGGGAGGCAGCAGUGGGGAAUUUUGGACAAUGGGGGCAACCCUGAUCCAGCAAUGCCGCCUGAGUGAAGAAGGCCUUCGGGUUGUAAAGCUCUUUUGUCAGGGAAGAAACACCGGCUCUAACACAGUCCGGGAAUGACGGUACCUGAAGAAUAAGCACCGGCUAACUACGUGCCAGCCGCCGCCGUAA